This 460-nucleotide ribosomal RNA is filed under the name uncultured bacterium. Its description in RNAcentral is "partial 16S ribosomal RNA". It matches the Rfam family "Bacterial small subunit ribosomal RNA", at positions 338 to 795 of the family's 1533-position model. The record is from RNAcentral.
CCUACGGGGGGCAGCAGUGAGGAAUAUUGGUCAAUGGACGAGAGUCUGAACCAGCCAAGUAGCGUGAAGUAUGACUGCCCUAUGGGUUGUAACCUUCUUUUAUAUGGGAAUAAAAUGUUCCACGUGUGGGAUUUUGUAUGUACCAUAUGAAUAAGGAUCGGCUAACUCCGUGCCAGCAGCCGCGGUAAUAUGGAGGAUCCGAGCUUUAUCCGGAGUUAUUGGGUUUAAAGGGAGCGUAGGUGGAUUGUUAAGUCAGUUGUGAAAGUUUGCGGCUCAACCGUAAAAUUGCAGUUGAAACUGGCAGUCUGGAGGACAGUAGAGGUGGGCGGAAGUCGUGGUGUAGCGGUGAAAUGAUUAGAUAGCACGAAGAACUCCGAUUGCGAAGGCAGCUCACUGGACUGCAACUGACACUGAGGCUCGAAAGUGUGGGUAUCAAACAGGAUUAGAUACCCUGGUAGUC